This 268-nucleotide ribosomal RNA is filed under the name uncultured soil bacterium. Its description in RNAcentral is "partial 16S ribosomal RNA". It matches the Rfam family "Bacterial small subunit ribosomal RNA", at positions 26 to 280 of the family's 1533-position model. The record is from RNAcentral.
AGAAUCAACGCUGGCGGCGUGCCUAACACAUGCAAGUCGAGCGCGAAAGGGGAGCAAUCCCCGAGUAGAGCGGCGAACGGGUGAGUAACGCGUGGGUAAUCUACCUCCGAGUGGGGAAUAACAGCGGGAAACUGCUGCUAAUACCGCAUGACAUCGUCGAGCCUUCGGGCCUGACGAUCAAAGCCGGGGACCGCAAGGCCUGGCGCUUGGAGACGAGCCCGCGUCCGAUUAGCUAGUUGGCGGGGUAAUGGCCCACCAAGGCUCCGAU